RNAcentral lists this ribosomal RNA (429 nucleotides) under bacterium. RNAcentral's name for it is "partial 16S ribosomal RNA". It matches the Rfam family "Bacterial small subunit ribosomal RNA", at positions 355 to 776 of the family's 1533-position model. The record is from RNAcentral.
UAGGGAAUCUUCCACAAUGGACGCAAGUCUGAUGGUGCAACGCCGCGUGAGUGAAGAAGGUUUUCGGAUCGUAAAGCUCUGUUGUUGGUGAAGAAGGAUAGAGGCAGUAACUGGUCUUUAUUUGACGGUAAUCAACCAGAAAGUCACGGCUAACUACGUGCCAGCAGCCGCGGUAAUACGUAGGUGGCAAGCGUUGUCCGGAUUUAUUGGGCGUAAAGCGAGCGCAGGCGGAAUGAUAAGUCUGAUGUGAAAGCCCACGGCUCAACCGUGGAACUGCAUCGGAAACUGUCAUUCUUGAGUGCAGAAGAGGAGAGUGGAAUUCCAUGUGUAGCGGUGGAAUGCGUAGAUAUAUGGAAGAACACCAGUGGCGAAGGCGGCUCUCUGGUCUGCAACUGACGCUGAGGCUCGAAAGCAUGGGUAGCGAACAGG